CAUUUGUCACCUAGUGGGAAACUGAUAGAGAGUCAAUUUGCUGUGAACAUUGGAAAGAACAGAAGACCUCUGACAGUUCCAGGUGGUUUGUUAAACUUGUUCACCCUGCCCCCUACCAAGUGGCCAACUCUGAACCCAUCGACAAGUGACCCUUGGCAGCUAAUUCCAAAUGCAUUUUGCUCUCUGUUGUACAGUAUUUCAGUGACAGAACCCAACACGUGUAUGUUUGACGAGGCUGGCGGAGGUUAAGAAGGAGCAGAGUAUUAAGUUAAGGUGGCUGAACAGCAAUGGAAAGAUGAUCCCUGGCCUUUUCUGAUCUCGGGAGGAACUGGGAAUUGAGAACUCUGUGUGGUCUUAGAAAUCACCUCCAGCUUCCCUCACAGCUGCUGCUGCUUAGGAGAAUCCCAGGGAAAGGCAGCAGUGAAAUAGUGGAUCCUCAAUCUGCAGAAGCUGACGUCAGGCUAAGAGCAAGUUACAAGAGUCACCCACUGAAACCCAGUCCCCCAAAUCUUCCAAAGAAGCAGAUGGAAUGCAGCUGAACAAAGAUACCACCAAAUGGCCAAGAACUUUAAUGAGGACCAACUGCUUUUGCAGGUUUCAUCCUGUCUUUGAUUUAGAGAAACGCUGGGGGAUGGAGUCUCUACUGAAAAAGGAACAGCAGGUCUCAGUUUUAACAACCUGAGAUCCAGUCAAGAGGACAGUGAGGCCUGGGACCCAUACUAACAUCCUUCUGGACUGGGACAAGUUGGAGAGCCCUCACGAAACCCUCUUCUUGGCAUUUAAAAUCUUGUAUCACAUUGUAUAAGUUUUUUUAAAAAAAAACAGCUGAGAAUUACCUGUAUUACUUGGAAAGGAGAAACUCCUGGUUCUAAAUUGUUUGCUUGUUUAUUUUGCCUUGUCUAUUUUCCCCCCUCUCUUCACCCAAGAAAUCCUGAAUAGGAAAUUAGAGUGAAAAUGUGGUUUUGUCCUGGAAACAGCUUAACAAAGGCAACAGUUUUAUCCCCCUCUCUGAAUUUUUAAAGUUAUGGUCCUUGAAUGUCUUUUGUCGGGAUCCCAUGACCUCCGACUGCAAGGAUCUUAUUAUCUCCUGGCACAAGGACACUUGAAUGAAUAAAGGAGGUCUCAGAAAGUGCUUUCAGGGAUGCCGUUGUCAUUGACCUCAUGGCACAGAGUCAUCCCUGCCUAGCUCCCGAUCUACACUCUGUCCUUACCACCGCAAGUAGCUAACAGCACAGCCACAGAGGCACAAACUGGACAGGCAAACACAAGGAGAAAGACCCCUUGCUAACUUAAUUUCCUGGAGCUGUAUUAGUCUGACACAGAGUUCUCACCUGGCUCUCUUGAUCUCCCUCCCAUUAAUAUUUAUGUUCCGUAGUCACAUUAUGAGACAGCUUAGAACCAUGGGCUGGCUCUACUUCUCGAAGGCAGUUCUGUCCAAUCUCCACAUAGAAGAGAGGCUGGUGCCCUGGCCCAUACUCUGGGCAGCAGCCACUGCCUUCUUGAUCCACAGAUCAAUUGCUUUGCCUAAGUAUGACACCACCCAGUCAUUGAUAUACUCCAGUAUGGCCAGCCCUGUUAAUGAUUUGGAUAAUACUGUUCCUAGGGAUGAUUCGCUGAAAACACACACAUUUUUAGACUUUAGCUUGCUUCCAGGAAAUGCCUGAGUCAUAUUUGGUCUGAGUGUUCUGAGUGUGGUUAUCAGCUGGAGUUUUAAAUCUACUCGAACAUGCAUGAUAUUUCAGGUUUCUGUACAAUAUAUGAUAUGUUCUGCAUGGUGUAUUAGAAUGCGGCGUAAAUUGCUGUCUGUGAAAUGUGAUUUCUGUCCAGUCUUGAAGUUGGGGUAGUGGUGGAGUAAUUAUACAUAUAAAAAUUGACUUCCAGUCUAUAGAACAUAAAGUACUGAGUCAGUAUGGUGAUGUUUGAAAUGCCAAUUCCUAAGACAAAGCUGAAAGGCUCUAUCUGUAACCAAUAAUGCUGCUCAGUCCCUUGCCAAGAUCCUGCUCAUUUAAAAGGGUCCUUUCUGAAGAAGUCAAGAAUAAGGAGUGAUAGGAUUUAUGGAAAUUGUGGUUGUGCUGACUUGCAUUAUGUAAAUGUGCCUGUUUUACAAUAAAACACAUUU
Molecule: long non-coding RNA, 2119 nt
Organism: Trichosurus vulpecula (common brushtail)
Lineage: Eukaryota; Metazoa; Chordata; Mammalia; Diprotodontia; Phalangeridae
Exons: 3
Source: RefSeq, a predicted model, not a curated record